RNAcentral lists this ribosomal RNA (802 nucleotides) under Streptomyces sp. RNAcentral's name for it is "bacterial SSU rRNA". It matches the Rfam family "Bacterial small subunit ribosomal RNA", at positions 67 to 883 of the family's 1533-position model. The record is from RNAcentral. Lineage: Bacteria; Bacillati; Actinomycetota; Actinomycetes; Kitasatosporales; Streptomycetaceae.
CGAUGAACCACUUCGGUGGGGAUUAGUGGCGAACGGGUGAGUAACACGUGGGCAAUCUGCCCUGCACUCUGGGACAAGCCCUGGAAACGGGGUCUAAUACCGGAUACUGACCCGCCUGGGCAUCCAGGCGGUUCGAAAGCUCCGGCGGUGCAGGAUGAGCCCGCGGCCUAUCAGCUUGUUGGUGAGGUAACGGCUCACCAAGGCGACGACGGGUAGCCGGCCUGAGAGGGCGACCGGCCACACUGGGACUGAGACACGGCCCAGACUCCUACGGGAGGCAGCAGUGGGGAAUAUUGCACAAUGGGCGAAAGCCUGAUGCAGCGACGCCGCGUGAGGGAUGACGGCCUUCGGGUUGUAAACCUCUUUCAGCAGGGAAGAAGCGCAAGUGACGGUACCUGCAGAAGAAGCGCCGGCUAACUACGUGCCAGCAGCCGCGGUAAUACGUAGGGCGCGAGCGUUGUCCGGAAUUAUUGGGCGUAAAGAGCUCGUAGGCGGCUUGUCGCGUCGGUUGUGAAAGCCCGGGGCUUAACCCCGGGUCUGCAGUCGAUACGGGCAGGCUAGAGUUCGGUAGGGGAGAUCGGAAUUCCUGGUGUAGCGGUGAAAUGCGCAGAUAUCAGGAGGAACACCGGUGGCGAAGGCGGAUCUCUGGGCCGAUACUGACGCUGAGGAGCGAAAGCGUGGGGAGCGAACAGGAUUAGAUACCCUGGUAGUCCACGCCGUAAACGGUGGGCACUAGGUGUGGGCGACAUUCCACGUCGUCCGUGCCGCAGCUAACGCAUUAAGUGCCCCGCCUGGGGAGUAC